RNAcentral lists this ribosomal RNA (429 nucleotides) under Bacteroidota bacterium. RNAcentral's name for it is "Bacteroidetes bacterium partial 16S ribosomal RNA". It matches the Rfam family "Bacterial small subunit ribosomal RNA", at positions 355 to 776 of the family's 1533-position model. The record is from RNAcentral. Lineage: Bacteria; Pseudomonadati; Bacteroidota.
UAGGGAAUCUUCGGCAAUGGGGGGAACCCUGACCGAGCAACGCCGCGCGAGUGAAGAAGGUUUUCGGAUCGUAAAGCUCUGUUGUUAAGGAAGAACGAGUGUGAGAAUGGAAAGUUCAUACUGUGACGGUACUUAACCAGAAAGGGACGGCUAACUACGUGCCAGCAGCCGCGGUAAUACGUAGGUCCCGAGCGUUGUCCGGAUUUAUUGGGCGUAAAGCGAGCGCAGGCGGUUAGAUAAGUCUGAAGUUAAAGGCAGUGGCUCAACCAUUGUAGGCUUUGGAAACUGUUUAACUUGAGUGCAGAAGGGGAGAGUGGAAUUCCAUGUGUAACGGUGAAAUGCGUAGAUAUAUGGAGGAACACCGGUGGCGAAAGCGGCUCUCUGGUCUGUAACUGGCGCUGAGGCUCGAAAGCGUGGGGAGCGAACAGG